UCCCUUUCUGAGGUGCUGGGACUGAGGGA
RNAcentral lists this non-coding RNA (29 nucleotides) under Mus musculus (house mouse). RNAcentral also lists the same sequence under 1 other name. Lineage: Eukaryota; Metazoa; Chordata; Mammalia; Rodentia; Muridae. The record is from RNAcentral.